This 466-nucleotide ribosomal RNA is filed under the name uncultured bacterium. RNAcentral's name for it is "partial 16S ribosomal RNA". It matches the Rfam family "Bacterial small subunit ribosomal RNA", at positions 329 to 792 of the family's 1533-position model. The record is from RNAcentral.
AUCCAGACUCCUACGGGACGCAGCAGUGAGGAAUAUUGGUCAAUGGACGAGAGUCUGAACCAGCCAAUUAGCGUGAAGGAUGACUGCCCUAUGGGUUUUAAACUUCUUUUAUCUGGGAAUAAAAUGUUCCACGUGUUUUCUUUUGUAUGUACCAUAUGAAUAAUGAUCUUCUAACUCCUUGCCAGCAGCCGCUUUAAUACGGAGGAUCCUAUCGUUAUCCGGAUUUAUUGGGUUUAAAGGGAGCGUAGAUGGGUUGUUAAGUCAGUUGUGAAAGUUUGCGGAUCAACCGUAAAAUUGCAAUUGAUACUGGCAGCCUUGAGUACAGUUGAGGUAGGCGGAAUUCGUGGUGUAGCGGUGAAAUGCUUAGAUAUAAAGAAGAACUCCGAUUGCGAAGGCAGCCUACUAAACUGCCACUGACAUUGAUGCUCGAAAGUGUGGGUAUCAAACAGGAUUAGAUACCCCAGUA